GAUGAACGCUGGCGGCGUGCCUAAUACAUGCAAGUCGAGCGAACGGACGAGAAGCUUUCUUCUCUGAUGUUAGCGGCGGACGGGGGAGUAACACGUGGAUAACCUACCUAUAAGACUGGGAUAACUUCGGGAAACCGGAGCUAAUACCGGAGAAUAGUUUGAACCGCAUGGUUCAAAAGUGAAAGACGGUCUUGCUGUCACUUAUAGAUGGAUCCGCGCUGCAUUAGCUAGUUGGUAAGGUAACGGCUUACCAAGGCAACGAUGCAUAGCCGACCUGAGAGGGUGAUCGGCCACACUGGAACUGAGACACGGUCCAGACUCCUACGGGAGGCAGCAGUAGGGAAUCUUCCGCAAUGGGCGAAAGCCUGACGGAGCAACGCCGCGUGAGUGAUGAAGGUCUUCGGAUCGUAAAACUCUGUUAUUAGGGAAGAACAUAUGUGUAAGUAACUGUGCACAUCUUGACGGUACCUAAUCAGAAAGCCACGGCUAACUACGUG
RNAcentral lists this ribosomal RNA (497 nucleotides) under uncultured bacterium. RNAcentral's name for it is "partial 16S ribosomal RNA". It matches the Rfam family "Bacterial small subunit ribosomal RNA", at positions 28 to 507 of the family's 1533-position model. The record is from RNAcentral.